Molecule: long non-coding RNA, 382 nt
Organism: Limulus polyphemus (Atlantic horseshoe crab)
Lineage: Eukaryota; Metazoa; Arthropoda; Merostomata; Xiphosura; Limulidae
Exons: 2
Source: RefSeq, a predicted model, not a curated record
GACAUGAAAUAGCGCCAUUGUAUUGUGCAGAUCGUCUCGAAACCGUAAGAAGCUGUGUGUAACCGUAAGAAACUAACAAGUGAAAUAAUUAUAAAAUUUUGAUAUUCGACACUUUGAAAUCUACAAUCCACAGUAAAAGAGCGGAUCACAUGCGAAAACCUCAUUAAUGGCCCUUGAUAGUGUGUUUGCCAUAGCCCCACCCUUGGUCGGGGAGAGAAACAAAGACACACUGAUUCUGAAUGAAGGAGAAAUUGAAAGUGAGGACAUCAAAGUCAAUGGAAAUUCUGAACCAGAAGAUGUAGAUUUAGAAGAAGGAGAAAUUCUUGAUGAUUCAGAGCAAGAAACAUCAAUUGAAACACCUGCUGCUGAAGAACAGAGUAAG